This 253-nucleotide ribosomal RNA is filed under the name uncultured bacterium. Its description in RNAcentral is "partial 16S ribosomal RNA". It matches the Rfam family "Bacterial small subunit ribosomal RNA", at positions 524 to 776 of the family's 1533-position model. The record is from RNAcentral.
CACGGGGGGAGCAAGCGUUGUUCGGAUUCAUUGGGCGUAAAGGGCUCGUAGGUGGCUUUGUAAGUCGGAGGUGAAAUCCCCAGGCUCAACCUGGGAACUGCGUCUGAUACUGGAUGGCUUGAAUCCGGGAGAGGGAUGCAGAAUUCCAGGUGUAGCGGUGAAAUGCGUAGAUAUCUGGAGGAAUACCGGUGGCGAAGGCGGUUCUCUGGGCAUUACCUGACGCUGAGGAGCGAAAGUGUGGGGAGCGAACAGG